This 518-nucleotide ribosomal RNA is filed under the name Pipinnipons kroeberi. RNAcentral's name for it is "partial 16S ribosomal RNA". It matches the Rfam family "Bacterial large subunit ribosomal RNA", at positions 1810 to 2603 of the family's 2925-position model. Lineage: Eukaryota; Metazoa; Arthropoda; Insecta; Diptera; Therevidae. The record is from RNAcentral.
AAAACAUGACCUUUAGUGUUUAAUUUAAGGUCUGACCUGCCCACUGAAUUAAAUGGCCGCAGUAUUUUAACUGUGCAAAGGUAGCAUAAUCAUUAGUCUUUUAAUUGAAGGCUUGUAUGAAUGGUUGGACGAAAUAUUGACUGUUUCAUGAAAAUUGAUUUAGAAUUUUAUUUUUUAGUUAAAAAGCUAAAAUUUUUUUAAAAGACGAGAAGACCCUAUAGAUCUUUAUAAUUAGUUUAUUAUAGUUAUUUAGAUAAGUUAAAUUAUAAUUGUAUUAAUUAUUUUGUUGGGGUGAUAUUAAAAUUUAGUUAACUUUUAAUAUAUAGUUACAUUGAUUUAUGAAUUAUUGAUCCAUUAUUAAUGAUUAAAAAAUUAAGUUACCUUAGGGAUAACAGCGUAAUUUUUUUGAAGAGUUCAUAUCGAUAAAAAAGAUUGCGACCUCGAUGUUGGAUUAAGAUAUAAUUUUGGGUGCAGCAAUUCAAUUAUUAAGUCUGUUCGACUUUUAAUUUCUUACAUGA